GGAGGUUUAGCUCAGUUGGGAGAGCGUCUGCCUUACAAGCAGAGGGUCACAGGUUCAAGCCCUGUAACCUCCA
This is a transfer RNA of 73 nucleotides. It matches the Rfam family "tRNA". Rfam says of the family: Transfer RNA (tRNA) molecules are approximately 80 nucleotides in length. Their secondary structure includes four short double-helical elements and three loops (D, anti-codon, and T loops). The record is from Rfam.